CUUAGUGGGCAAAGCGGAGGGGAAACACCCUGAACCAUUCCGAACCAGGAAGUUAAGCCCUCCAGCGCUGAUGAUACUGCACCUUUCGGGUGUGGGAAAGUAGGUCCCCGCUAAGC
RNAcentral lists this ribosomal RNA (116 nucleotides) under Lebetimonas natsushimae. Lineage: Bacteria; Pseudomonadati; Campylobacterota; Epsilonproteobacteria; Nautiliales; Nautiliaceae. The record is from RNAcentral.